Molecule: long non-coding RNA, 248 nt
Filed under: Theobroma cacao (cacao)
Lineage: Eukaryota; Viridiplantae; Streptophyta; Magnoliopsida; Malvales; Malvaceae
Description: long non-coding RNA (TCAC_LNC005799)
Source: RNAcentral
GGGGGAGGGGAGGGAUAGCACCGCGGAUUCCGUGGGUUCCAGGCUUGCACUCCAAUCAUCUCAUUAUAGAGAGAAUCGUUGAGGCAAAGUAAUGGGCUAUCUUUGCUUUGCUUUGCUUGCUCACCUCAUCCCCCUACCCAUUCCAUCCCACCUCUCUAUGCAUAUACCACACAUUUGUAUCUUUGCACCAUCUUUUCUUGUAAAAGACGUGUGUGAGACUCAUUCUUCUCCUCCUUCCUCCACGCGCC